Long non-coding RNA from Heterocephalus glaber (naked mole-rat), 576 nucleotides. RefSeq lists it as uncharacterized. The record is from RefSeq and is a predicted model, not a curated record. Lineage: Eukaryota; Metazoa; Chordata; Mammalia; Rodentia; Bathyergidae.
UAACCCAUAGCUGCCAAAUAACACAGUUAAUCCAUAGUUGCCCAAUUCCAUAUGAAGGGGUGGUUGCCUCUCUCACUGGGACUAACGUAUGGCUGCUGUAGGCAGUCAUGCCUAACUGGACCUGAGGAAGGGCAUGUUUCAGACAGAAAGUAACAAGUGAGCUGGGAUCUGACUGGUGUAUAAAAUACGCAUCAGAAAUCAUAAAGGGCCUCCAGUGGCUGGGGAUUUAGCUCAGUGGCACUAUGCACGCCUCGAACCACGCUUGCCUUGCAAGUGCAAGAUCCUAAGUUUCAUCCUCAAUAACAAAAAACAAAAGGGCCUCCAAAGUGAGGAAUUAGAUGAGAUCAAAGACAUGUGACAACUAGAAAUGUGGACUCCAUAAAUGUCAGCCACCCUGCUCUGUCCUCAUGAUAACCCGAAACCAAGUAAUAAAGCUGAACUAUCCACCAGCUGGAGACAAUGAAGGCUGCUCCUGGGAUCUGUUUACAGAAGAUGUAUGCUAGCAGUUCCAGCUAUAUUGGUCCUGCUGGGAAAAAUUAGUGGUUUUGGUAACAACUUCCUUGGGCCAAAGGGGAA